AGGAAAGGGCCUGGCUGUGACAGGCUGUCUUAGGAUUCACCAUUGUCGUCCUGGACUGCUAGGCAUGGAACAUCGUGUGACCAACAUGAAGUUCUUCUCCCAGCCCACUGAUGGAGGGUCACGUUCCCCUCCCACAGACAGCAGGAUCCUGCCAGGAGCCCAGGCUCAGCAGAGACAUCCUCACCAUCCCCCAUGUUAUCACCAUGACAGCUCAGAGAGAGCCCCAGUGACCUGUGUCACAAUAGGAUCUUGUAGACAUGACUGUGACCUCCAAGCCUGGGUCAUAAAAGACAAUCACCCUGCCAGGCUGUCUCUGAGAGCAGCCAGCCACCAUGCCCUGCAGAUGCCCAAGCAGUCCUGUGGAGAGCCAUGUAUGGAGAGGAACCAGCCGUGUGAGGGAUUGCCGGGGAAGGGAGUCUUCUGGCCUCAGUCACACCUUCAGAUGAGACCACAGCCCCAAACACCCACCCAACUGCUCCCAAAUUGCUGACCUCCAGAAACCAGGAGAGCUCAUAUGUGUUGAUCGUUAUACGACUGGCCUUGGACCCCCAACAGCCCGAGAUGAUUCUCUUUGCAGUGGCCCCAGCAGCCCCCUAAGAUGCAACGCAACGUCCCUGGUCAGCAGGGGCAGCCACCAUAGUCCUCAGUGACCCAGCCCAGGGCCCAUCAGCGCUGUGGCCGAGACUUGGGCUGCAGAGGCUGGAAUGUGGCCUCUGAACAGCCUGCUGUGCACAGAGAAGGAAGAACAUGAAAACGUGAGCAAUGAAGCCAACAAUAACCCAUCAUUUAAAUCCUGCUUCUCACACUUUGUCUUGGAAACAAAAGUGAUCCAAGGAAUUCAUGCCCAGUCUCCACCCAACAGAACCCUGCUGAGGCAUCGAUGGCCUUGCAGAUCCUCUCCAGCAGGGCCUCCCAGGCUGGUGUGGUUCCUCUACUAGAAAUGUGAAAUCUUCUGUCACCAUAUACAUUUGGGAAAUGCCAGGAGCAUCUCCUCAGGAUUCAGCCCCAAAACGGAUGGGCAUGCGCACUGGGCAGGACCCAGCAGCGGAAGCUGAGUGCCAAUAUGCCACGCUGCCCACGGUCUGCCUGUCCACCUCUGGCAAUGUUAUGUUAGAAGUAAAGAGACGUCUACCUUCGUUAAGCCACUGCAUUUCAGGUCUCUCUAUUACGGCAGCAAGCCGUGCCCCCAAAGGAUGCACUGUGGUUGCACAUUCACCUGUGGCUCUAACACAGCGACACCUGUGCUCGUUCUGUCUGCUCAGCACCAUCCUUUCACCAGGGUGCUGCUCCCACCCAGCCCCGAGGUUCUGUGAAGUGAUGGACCCACCCUGCCCGGGCGCAG
Molecule: long non-coding RNA, 1342 nt
Organism: Prionailurus viverrinus (fishing cat)
Lineage: Eukaryota; Metazoa; Chordata; Mammalia; Carnivora; Felidae
Exons: 7
Source: RefSeq, a predicted model, not a curated record